AAGACUACACUUCCAGGAAUUAUUUCUAUAGUUCGUUACUAGAGAGAUUUCUCUGAUUGUUAGAGAGCUCGAAACCACUAGGAUAGCCAGAAGAAGGAACAGGAAGCCAAAUUUAAAACCCUUUAAAUUUGACAAACCAAACGUUUUCUUAAACGUUGCUUUUGCAACUGCCUUUUAUUAUGGAUGAUUGUUCUUCUUUUCUCUCAGAAAAGGGAGAGGGAGAGGGCAGAGUCUGAGUGG
This 240-nucleotide small nucleolar RNA is filed under the name Sorex araneus (European shrew). RNAcentral's name for it is "Small nucleolar RNA U3 (ENSSARG00000018333.1)". It matches the Rfam family "Small nucleolar RNA U3". Rfam says of the family: Small nucleolar RNAs (snoRNAs) are involved in the processing and modification of rRNA in the nucleolus. There are two main classes of snoRNAs: the box C/D class, and the box H/ACA class. The record is from RNAcentral. Lineage: Eukaryota; Metazoa; Chordata; Mammalia; Eulipotyphla; Soricidae.